RNAcentral lists this ribosomal RNA (650 nucleotides) under uncultured bacterium. RNAcentral's name for it is "bacterial SSU rRNA". It matches the Rfam family "Bacterial small subunit ribosomal RNA", at positions 202 to 847 of the family's 1533-position model. The record is from RNAcentral.
CAAAGGAGGCGACUCCGGAGACGGAUGGGCAUGCGUGACAUUAGCUUGUUGGCGGGGUAACGGCCCACCAAGGCGACGAUGUCUAGGGGUUCUGAGAGGAAGGUCCCCCACACUGGUACUGAGACACGGACCAGACUCCUACGGGAGGCAGCAGUGAGGAAUAUUGGUCAAUGGGCGAGAGCCUGAACCAGCCAAGUCGCGUGAAGGAUGACGGCCCUACGGGUUGUAAACUUCUUUUGUCAGGGAGCAAUUGAGUCCACGUGUGGGCUUAGCGAGAGUACCUGAAGAAAAAGCAUCGGCUAACUCCGUGCCAGCAGCCGCGGUAAUACGGAGGAUGCGAGCGUUAUCCGGAUUUAUUGGGUUUAAAGGGUGCGUAGGCGGAAUAUCAAGUCAGCGGUAAAAAUUCGGGGCUCAACCCCGUCGUGCCGUUGAAACUGAUGUUCUUGAGUGGGCGAGAAGUAUGCGGAAUGCGUGGUGUAGCGGUGAAAUGCAUAGAUAUCACGCAGAACUCCGAUUGCGAAGGCAGCAUACCGGCGCCCAACUGACGCUGAAGCACGAAAGCGUGGGUAUCGAACAGGAUUAGAUACCCUGGUAGUCCACGCAGUAAACGAUGAAUGCUAAUUGUCCGGAGGGAUUGACCUCUGGGUGAU